GCAGCUCCCAGCCUCCUCUUCCCGGCUGGGCGCCCUCGCUCCGCCUCGAAGCUGCGGCUUGGCUUUUCCUUCGUCAACACCACUCUGACUCUCCUAAAUCUUGACCAGAGGGGAAGGGGUGCUUUGGCGCAUGCAUCUCCCCGUGUCCCCUCCCGCUACCCUCUGGCUUGUAAUAACAAUGGAGUUGCCCGCGGUCUGGAAAGCAGUGUUGGGUCCGAGUGGGCCGGCGAAGGGCGAGAGGGGUUGGGACGCCAAGGGUUAAGUUCCAGCCCCGGCAAUGGAAGGGAAGCGGGAGUUUGCCGCCUGGGUGGAAUUCUAGCCUCUCCGGGCGGCCACCAGCCCUCGCCGCCUGAGCUGCACUUGCUCCCUCGUCUGGCCCGCGAGCAACAGGCUCUGAGGCCGGGCUCACCCCGGAGCUAGUGCUCCUCCUGCCACUGGUGCCUGGGUGCGUCUGGAACCCCUGCGAGUGGGCCGGUCCAGGACCUCCUGUAUAAAGCAGGCAUCCUCUGACUUGAUAAAUAUGAGUCUGGAACAAAAUUAAAAGGAAACAACAUCUGCUGGAAAGAGGAAUUAUUUAUUACUGUAGUUUCUUGCCAACAUUGAACUCUGAGGAAAUCCACUAAAUGGAGAAAGCGAACCAAUCCAGGAUUACAUUUUAGUAAUCCCCCGAAGAAAAAAUGGGGGAACACUAUGAAGAAAAGAUACAAAGAAGGCCCCGAUCUGUGUUUGGGAAACUGGAGGACGAACAUGAGAGCAGUAGUUGGAAUGCACUUCAAUAAUGACAAGUGCCAUCUUCUUGCUGAAAGAGGGACUGUGCGAAGAUUACUUAAUUUAAGAGGGCGUGCUCUCUUCUUCAGCAUGAACCUGUUCUGUGUCGUCUCAGAAAAUCACUCUUUGUUCUUAGGGUGUAUGUGUGGGAGAGAAAAAGACAGAUGUGCAAAUCUGAUACAGUUUUGAAUUUGUAAAUAAGCAGGAAGAAUGACGAGGCAUGUUGUUGCCUCGCACCAGUGGAAGGAUGCCCUACUGGGCGGGUCCUCGAAGCCCCACUAUUCAUCCGUCUACAACCCUCCCUGUUUAUGUCAUUCUGGACUGAGUUAUUCAGUAUUUGGGAAGUAAGCUACCGAGUCCAAUGUAUUACACUGGUUCCAAGAGAAUGGGGAUUUUCUUAAGUAGAAAUGGAAGUUGACAAUGAAGGUUUAAGCGUUUGUGAGAGAAAAGAAGGGACAGCAGGACAGGGAAGCAAAUCUAGAAACUACAGUAUUCCCUCAAAGAGCUUCCCUGUGAGUGGAUUAAGCUGUUUUGUUUUGUUUUGUUUUCCUUUCCUUUCCCCUUAGACUGUGGAAACAUAUCUUCAUGUUUUAUGUUAUAAAUUUUAAAUGUAACUUUGAUGUUUGAGAUUUGUAGAA
This is a long non-coding RNA of Lutra lutra (Eurasian river otter), 1406 nucleotides long. RefSeq lists it as uncharacterized. The record is from RefSeq and is a predicted model, not a curated record. NCBI's taxonomy places the organism in Eukaryota, Metazoa, Chordata, Mammalia, Carnivora, Mustelidae. The transcript has 4 exons.